UUAAGCGACCAAGCGUACACGGUGGAUGCCCUGGCAGUCAGAGGCGAUGAAGGACGUGCUAAUCUGCGAAAAGCGCCGGUAAGGUGAUAUGAACCGUUAUAACCGGCGAUGUCCGAAUGGGGAAACCCAGUGUGACUCGUCACACUAUCAUUAACUGAAUCCAUAGGUUAAUGAGGCGAACCGGGGGAACUGAAACAUCUAAGUACCCCGAGGAAAAGAAAUCAACCGAGAUUCCCCCAGUAGCGGCGAGCGAACGGGGAGGAGCCCAGAGCCUGAAUCAGCAUAUGUGUUAGUGGAAGCGUCUGGAAAGGCGCGCGAUACAGGGUGACAGCCCCGUACACAAAAGCGCAUGUGCUGUGAGCUCGAUGAGUAGGGCGGGACACGUGGUAUCCUGUCUGAAUAUGGGGGGACCAUCCUCCAAGGCUAAAUACUCCUGACUGACCGAUAGUGAACCAGUACCGUGAGGGAAAGGCGAAAAGAACCCCGGCGAGGGGAGUGAAAAAGAACCUGAAACCGUGUACGUACAAGCAGUGGGAGCCCCACCACUAAGCCAGUGGUGAACUCCACAUCCGCAUCCUUUGCGGAAGAUACGGUUAACGGAGCGAAAGCGACGUUCAACCGCAAAAGAAGCAGAGGGGGCUUAGUGGUGGGGUGACUGCGUACCUUUUGUAUAAUGGGUCAGCGACUUAUAUUCUGUAGCAAGGUUAACCGAAUAGGGGAGCCGGAGGGAAACCGAGUCUUAACCGGGCGUUAAGUUGCAGGGUAUAGACCCGAAACCCGGUGAUCUAGCCAUGGGCAGGUUGAAGGUUGGGUAACACUAACUGGAGGACCGAACCGACUAAUGUUGAAAAAUUAGCGGAUGACCUGUGGCUGGGGGUGAAAGGCCAAUCAAACCGGGAGAUAGCUGGUUCUCCCCGAAAGCUAUUUAGGUAGCGCCUCGUGAAUUCAUCUCCGGGGGUAGAGCACUGUUUCGGCCAGGGGGCCAUCCCGGCUUACCAACCCGAUGCAAACUGCGAAUACCGGAGAAUGUUAUCACGGGAGACACACGGCGGGUGCUAACGUCCGUCGUGAAGAGGGAAACAACCCAGACCGCCAGCUAAGGUCCCAAAGUCAUGGUUAAGUGGGAAACGAUGUGGGAAGGCCCAGACAGCCAGGAUGUUGGCUUAGAAGCAGCCAUCAUUUAAAGAAAGCGUAAUAGCUCACUGGUCGAGUCGGCCUGCGCGGAAGAUGUAACGGGGCUAAACCAUGCACCGAAGCUGCGGCAGCGACACUGUGUGUUGUUGGGUAGGGGAGCGUUCUGUAAGCCUGCGAAGGUGGCCUGUGAGGGUUGCUGGAGGUAUCAGAAGUGCGAAUGCUGACAUAAGUAACGAUAAUGCGGGUGAAAAACCCGCACGCCGGAAGACCAAGGGUUCCUGUCCAACGUUAAUCGGGGCAGGGUGAGUCGACCCCUAAGGCGAGGCCGAAAGGCGUAGUCGAUGGGAAACGGGUUAAUAUUCCCGUACCUGGUGUUACUGCGAAGGGGGGACGGAGAAGGCUAUGUUGGCCGGGCGACGGUUGUCCCGGUUUAAGCGUGCAGGUGUGUGUUCCAGGAAAAUCCGGUUCACUUUAACACUGAGGCGUGACGACGAGGCACUACGGUGCUGAAGCAACAAAUGCCCUGCUUCCAGGAAAAGCCUCUAAGCCUCAGGUAACAUCAGAUCGUACCCGAAACCGACACAGGUGGUCAGGUAGAGAAUACCAAGGCGCUUGAGAGAACCCGGGUGAAGGAACUAGGCAAAAUGGUGCCGUAACUUCGGGAGAAGGCACGCUGACAUGUAGGUGAAGCGGUUUACCCGUGGAGCUGAAGUCAGUCGAAGAUACCAGCUGGCUGCAACUGUUUAUUAAAAACACAGCACUGUGCAAACACGAAAGUGGACGUAUACGGUGUGACGCCUGCCCGGUGCCGGAAGGUUAAUUGAUGGGGUCAGCGCAAGCGAAGCUCCUGAUCGAAGCCCCGGUAAACGGCGGCCGUAACUAUAACGGUCCUAAGGUAGCGAAAUUCCUUGUCGGGUAAGUUCCGACCUGCACGAAUGGCGUAAUGAUGGCCAGGCUGUCUCCACCCGGGACUCAGUGAAAUUGAACUCGCUGUGAAGAUGCAGUGUACCCGCGGCAAGACGGAAAGACCCCGUGAACCUUUACUAUAGCUUGACACUGAACACUGGUCCUUGAUGUGCAGGAUAGGUGGGAGGCUUUGAAGUGUGGACGCCAGUCUGCAUGGAGCCGUCCUUGAAAUACCACCCUUUAAUGGCUGGUGUUCUAACGUAGACCCGUGAACCGGGUUGCGGACAGUGUCUGGUGGGUAGUUUGACUGGGGCGGUCUCCUCCUAAAGCGUAACGGAGGAGCACGAAGGUUGGCUAAUCCUGGUCGGACAUCAGGAGGUUAGUGCAAUGGCAUAAGCCAGCUUGACUGCGAGCGUGACGGCGCGAGCAGGUGCGAAAGCAGGUCAUAGUGAUCCGGUGGUUCUGAAUGGAAGGGCCAUCGCUCAACGGAUAAAAGGUACUCCGGGGAUAACAGGCUGAUACCGCCCAAGAGUUCAUAUCGACGGCGGUGUUUGGCACCUCGAUGUCGGCUCAUCACAUCCUGGGGCUGAAGUAGGUCCCAAGGGUAUGGCUGUUCGCCAUUUAAAGUGGUACGCGAGCUGGGUUUAGAACGUCGUGAGACAGUUCGGUCCCUAUCUGCCGUGGGCGCUGGAGAACUGAGGGGGGCUGCUCCUAGUACGAGAGGACCGGAGUGGACGCAUCACUGGUGUUCGGGUUGUCAUGCCAAUGGCACUGCCCGGUAGCUAAAUGCGGAAGAGAUAAGUGCUGAAAGCAUCUAAGCACGAAACUUGCCCCGAGAUGAGUUCUCCCUGAGACUUUAGUCUCCUGAAGGAACGUUGAAGACGACGACGUUGAUAGGCCGGGUGUGUAAGCGCAGCGAUGCGUUGAGCUAACCGGUACUAAUGAACCGUGAGGCUUAACCUU
RNAcentral lists this ribosomal RNA (3003 nucleotides) under Salmonella enterica. RNAcentral describes it as "bacterial LSU rRNA". It matches the Rfam family "Bacterial large subunit ribosomal RNA". The record is from RNAcentral. Lineage: Bacteria; Pseudomonadati; Pseudomonadota; Gammaproteobacteria; Enterobacterales; Enterobacteriaceae.